AUUGAACGCUGGCGGCAGGCCUAACACAUGCAAGUCGAGCGGAUGAAGGGAGCUUGCUCCUGGAUUCAGCGGAGGACGGGUGAGUAAUGCCUAGGAAUCUGCCUGGUAGUGGGGGAUAACGUCCGGAAACGGGCGCUAAUACCGCAUACGUCCUGAGGGAGAAAGUGGGGGAUCUUCGGACCGCACGCUAUCAGAUGAGCCUAGGUCGGAUUAGCUAGUUGGUGGGGUAAAGGCCUACCAAGGCGACGAUCCGUAACUGGUCUGAGAGGAUGAUCAGUCACACUGGAACUGAGACACGGUCCAGACUCCUACGGGAGGCAGCAGUGGGGAAUAUUGGACAAUGGGCGAAAGCCUGAUCCAGCCAUGCCGCGUGUGUGAAGAAGGUCUUCGGAUUGUAAAGCACUUUAAGUUGGGAGGAAGGGCAGUAAGUUAAUACCUUGCUGUUUUGACGUUACCAACAGAAUAAGCACCGGCUAACUUCGUG
Molecule: ribosomal RNA, 484 nt
Filed under: uncultured bacterium
Lineage: Bacteria
Description: partial 16S ribosomal RNA
Rfam family: Bacterial small subunit ribosomal RNA
Source: RNAcentral